Long non-coding RNA from Tarenaya hassleriana, 1184 nucleotides. RefSeq lists it as uncharacterized. The record is from RefSeq and is a predicted model, not a curated record. NCBI's taxonomy places the organism in Eukaryota, Viridiplantae, Streptophyta, Magnoliopsida, Brassicales, Cleomaceae. The transcript has 2 exons.
UAAAUAAAUCCUAUAAUGGAACACUAUAUGUUACAUGUCCCGAGACAAUGUAAAAAUCUGCAUUCUCAAAUGAGAUGCAAAUAGAGGGGUAUGUUACAUUGGGAAUAACGUCAAAACUCACCUUGAAAUGGGAAUGUUGUAUUACUUGUCCCGAAACAUAUCGUAAAAAUUUGAAUUCUCAAAUGAGAUGCAAAUAGAGGGUUUGUUUUGUUUGGAAUAAUGGCUAAACAGAUCCUGGAAUUGGAAUGAGAAUGUUAUCUGUUACGUCUCGAAAUGCAAAAAUAUGUAUUCUCAAAUGAAAUGAAAAUAUAGGGUUUGAUCUGUUGGGAAUAAUGGCUUAACAGACCAUGGAAAGACCUGCCCCGAAUCGUAAUGCAAAGGCCUGUUGUAUUCUCGGAUGUUAUACAAAUAUAGAGGGUUUGUUAGGAAUUGCAGCAAUACAAGACUCUCUAGAGUUGAAUGAACUCAUUAAGUCUGAACUGGAUAAAAUCUUAAUGAUUGGUUUCUGUAAUUCCUAUAUUUUUGUAUCAGUGUCACAAUUGCUUUGCGCCUUUGUCAGGUUUGGUAAUAUAUCCUUUAGCUCUGUAUGGCAAUUCCUUCUUUUUAUGAUCAAUGUCUCAGUUUUAAGUUUUCGACUCACAAAGGUAAAUUCUUGGAUCAACCCAUAGAAUUGGUUUCAGAAUUGUGUAAUAGGUUUACUAGCAUACAUAUGUCUUUUAUACUUUGUUCCGUAUAUGAUCAAUGUCCCAGUUUUAAGCUUUCUGUUUCAUGUCAGGGAGCUCUUGGUUUAGUUGCAUACAUCUGUCGUUUAAUCUUCCGCUGACAAAGGUAAGUUCUUGGACUGUACCAUAGCAUUGAUUUCAGAGUUGUGCAAUAGCUUAUGCUUUUGUUUAAAAACGUUUUUAUGGUGUGAUGUAAGGUUGAAUUGCAAUAAUGACAGCUUUCCAUGAAGAGAGAGGGUUUCUGGAAGGAAGAUGUACCAUUAACAAGAUUGUGAGUAUUAAUUUGGAUUCAUUUGUUUACGUUAUGUUUUCUCUUAUGAAAGAAGGAACAUGUGUUGAUGUCUUAUCUUUAUUAUUUGGCGGUUUUAUGCUGGUAAAACACAUAUACAUAUUCUAUAGAUUACAUUGGUUGAUGUAGGAUUAUUAUGUGACAUGGAGGAUUUAACACGUGUUUCGAAGUAA